Molecule: unclassified non-coding RNA, 329 nt
Filed under: soil metagenome
Description: partial contains 5.8S ribosomal RNA, internal transcribed spacer 2, and large subunit ribosomal RNA
Rfam family: 5.8S ribosomal RNA (bases 1-120)
Source: RNAcentral
GAUGAAGAACGUAGCAAAAUGCGAUAAGUAAUGUGAAUUGCAGAAUUCAGUGAAUCAUCGAAUCUUUGAACGCACAUUGCGCCCCUUGGUAUUCCGAGGGGCAUGCCUGUUCGAGCGUCAUUAUAACCCCUCAAGCUCAGCUUGGUGUUGGGGCCUGCUGCACUGGCAGCCCUUAAAAUCAGUGGCGGCGCCAUCUGGCUCUAAGCGUAGUAAUUCUUCUCGCUAUGGAGUCCUGGUGGAUGCUUGCCAUCAACCCCCAAUUUUUCUAUGGUUGACCUCGGAUCAGGUAGGGAUACCCGCUGAACUUAAGCAUAUCAAUAAGCGGAGGA